CGUAAAAAGACAAUUACGGUCACAUUUUGCGGAUAUGCCAUCGAUCAUUUUGAUUACCUUGAAGGAACAAUUAGAAGCAAAAACUUCCUCUACCACCCGUAGUCUUUAGUAUUGUAGAAAAAAUAACAAGAACUGAAGGUUGAUGAAAUCAAAAAGGAAAUUGCGUUAAAUUAUCAAAAGGAAGAGAUGACAACUGGUAAUAAAUAUUCAGAGGAAGUGAACGGCAGGACAUACAAGCGCCCAUUUAAUCAAGUUAUCAAAACUAUUAACCUUGUUGUUAUUUUUUCUCUGCUACUCUAAAAACGUGAUUUUGCUUCCAAAGAAGGUGUACACGAUGGGGAAUUUCUAGAGUUAAGCAGUUAGGUGCUGUUAUAAUGAAUGGAACAGACCAAUAUGCAAUAAAAGCUGAACUCGAAGAGAGCCCAAUUACUUUAUCUGACAAAGUUCCAAGUGUUCAUUUAACGACAAAUGGCUAGAGUCCGGUGCUUGGUGUCUUUGACUGUUCUGGUAGUCUUGUUGUGCUUUAUUCAACAAGCGCGGGGAUUUGUUGGGGGCAUCACCGUCCCACAGCAUGGGAAGCGUAGCAAAGAAACGUUACCAAAGAGGGCCAUCUUGAACUACUGCUUAACAGUGGGGGCCUGGUGCCAAGUAAAUCCUGACGCCCGUGAAUGUCGUCACUUGGAAGAGACAAUAGUCUCUACAAAUAGACAAUAGUCUCUACAAAUUUUCCGCACCUUCUUUGGGAUGAUAUUAUUAUAUAUUGCAGACUUAUAAUAUAUGUAAUAGUAUACAGCUUUGGGCAAAUCAUUUUCGAUAAUAUAAAAUUAAAUCAUUAAUGAGA
Long non-coding RNA from Nematostella vectensis (starlet sea anemone), 841 nucleotides. RefSeq lists it as uncharacterized. NCBI's taxonomy places the organism in Eukaryota, Metazoa, Cnidaria, Anthozoa, Actiniaria, Edwardsiidae. The transcript has 3 exons. The record is from RefSeq and is a predicted model, not a curated record.